RNAcentral lists this small RNA (64 nucleotides) under Salmonella enterica subsp. enterica serovar Derby. RNAcentral's name for it is "partial RtT sRNA". It matches the Rfam family "RtT RNA", at positions 68 to 130 of the family's 130-position model. From Rfam's summary of the family: This family represents a bacterial cis-regulatory element known as RtT RNA. The exact function of RtT is unknown although it is thought that it may be involved in changing the cellular response in relation to amino acid starvation. Lineage: Bacteria; Pseudomonadati; Pseudomonadota; Gammaproteobacteria; Enterobacterales; Enterobacteriaceae. The record is from RNAcentral.
UUGCCGCAGGCAACGACCCGAAGGGCGAAACGCGCAGCGCUGAGUAAUCUCUCCCCCACCACCA